AGAAAGGGAGUCUAAUCCAUAGAUCUUUUUCCGCUCCUUUUCUAUCCAAUUAGUUUAUGUUUGUUCUAAUUACAAAACAAACAAGAACAAAUCUUUUAUUUUUGCAGGCCAAUCGCACUUUUGACUUUGGAAUACAGUCUCUUUAUCAAUAUACUGUUUCUUUUACACAUUCAAUUCAUAGAAAGACGAUGUACGGGAUACGGGAUCCUCGUAGUAGGCUGGACCAAAAUCCAGCCGAGAGAGGGCAGCCUUUAGAAGCAACAGGUUGGGAAACCAAGAGAAGGC
RNAcentral lists this long non-coding RNA (285 nucleotides) under Panicum hallii. RNAcentral's name for it is "long non-coding RNA (PHAL_LNC000894)". The record is from RNAcentral. Lineage: Eukaryota; Viridiplantae; Streptophyta; Magnoliopsida; Poales; Poaceae.